UGAAGGGCGUAUCUCGUCGCGCACAUUGUGUUUCAACCUGAACUCCCACUGUGUGAGGAAAGUCCGGACUUCGCAGAGCAAGAUGCCGCCUAACCGACGGACGGCGCAAGCCGAUGGACCUUGUGUCCCGGUAAGGGUGAAAAUGUGCGGUAAGAGCGCACGGAUCUCGCUGGUAACAGUGGGCUCGGGUAAACCCCAUCUGAAGCAAGGUCAAAUAGGGCACCUGAGAUGGCUCGUCUCGUUUAAAGUGCCGGGUUGACUGCUAGACGCUGCGUGCAAACGCAGUCCCAGAUAAAUGACGAGACUCGACAGAAUCCGGCUUAUCGCGCCCUUCGCAUC
Molecule: RNase P RNA, 339 nt
Filed under: Candidatus Marinamargulisbacteria bacterium
Lineage: Bacteria; Bacillati; Candidatus Margulisiibacteriota; Candidatus Marinamargulisbacteria
Description: RNase P RNA component class A
Rfam family: Bacterial RNase P class A
About the family: Ribonuclease P (RNase P) is a ubiquitous endoribonuclease, found in archaea, bacteria and eukarya as well as chloroplasts and mitochondria.
Source: RNAcentral